This 292-nucleotide ribosomal RNA is filed under the name uncultured bacterium. RNAcentral describes it as "partial 16S ribosomal RNA". It matches the Rfam family "Bacterial small subunit ribosomal RNA", at positions 505 to 796 of the family's 1533-position model. The record is from RNAcentral.
GUGCCAGCAGCCGCGGUAAUACGUAGGGUGCGAGCGUUAAUCGGAAUUACUGGGCGUAAAGCGUGCGCAGGCGGUUUGUUAAGACAGGUGUGAAAUCCCCGGGCUUAACCUGGGAAUGGCGCUUGUAACUGGCAGACUGGAGUACGUCAGAGGGGGGUGGAAUUCCACGUGUAGCAGUGAAAUGCGUAGAGAUGUGGAGGAACACCGAUGGCGAAGGCAGCCCCCUGGGAUGAUACUGACGCUCAGGCACGAAAGCGUGGGGAGCAAACAGGAUUAGAUACCCCAGUAGUCC